Long non-coding RNA from Cygnus olor (mute swan), 9876 nucleotides. RefSeq lists it as uncharacterized. NCBI's taxonomy places the organism in Eukaryota, Metazoa, Chordata, Aves, Anseriformes, Anatidae. The record is from RefSeq and is a predicted model, not a curated record. The transcript is spliced from 3 exons.
GCCCCGGCCCCGGCCCCAUUCCCAGCCCCAGCCCCAUGUGCUCGGGGCACGGCGGUGCCUCAGUGGGUUAAGUUCAGAGUGGCCUUUGUAAGGGUUUUCUUCUUUUUUUUUUUUUCCCUCCCAAAACGCUUUGUAGCGAAAAGGUUAGGCAGGAUCUGCGGCAUGCGUUUGCAAAACUUGGUGCAACUUUGGUUUUAGUAAAUAAUAAAGUUUAGGAAACUUGGGGUUAAAAAAAUAGUUCUGCUAACAAAUCGUGUACUCUCUGGUGGAAAAAAAAAAAAUUGUUUCAAGCAAGGUGAUGUGCUGUCCUGUACUCUAUAAUUCUUCUGAAGGGUGAUUAAGGCGCAGACGUAAUGAAGGUGCGUGUUAGUGCUGCUGUGAUUUUUCCUUAAAGAAAAGUUUGUGAUUGGUGAAAAAUGUCCUGAUAUUUCUUGCCCAGCGGGAUUUAUUUGUGCUUGAGAGAGAGCGGGACCUGGUUUUGUUGAUGUGGAUGUUCACAGUGCAGUUGUGUUGCUGGAGUUUGUUUCAAAUUUCAUAAUGUAGCCUGGGAUUACAGUGUUUUGUAUCCUUUAAUUUUUCUUUCAAAGUAGAGGAAACUCAGUUUUGCACAUCAACUGCUCUAAUUAAUGAUGUGGAGAACGUGGCAUAUAUCAAAAAGAGUUAGAGUCCAAAGCAGAAGCUCUUUGACUCUCUCCUUUCCCCUCCCUUUAGUACUAGAUAGCAGCACAUGUAGUCAGUUUGAUAAGGCUGAGUUUUUCAGUGCAGCUUUUUUCUUGAUUUAGAAGAAUAAAGGCAAUUUUUGUGUCCGUACUUAAUUAAGUUGCUGUACCUUGGAAUGAAAAAGUAAAGAGUUCAGCUGAUGAUCUAGUUUAUGGUGAAGCACUGCAAAGCUGUAAUUAAAAGUAGGCUGUACAUUCAUCUUUAGUUGUAACUUGCUGUGUGUACUCUUUUAAAUCAAACCCUAGGUAAAGAUAGAUAGUUAGGUCUUGUGAGGAUUGCUGCUUCAAUUUAUAUAUAAUUCAAUUUAUAUAUAAUUCAAUAAAGAUAUCUUACAGUUAAUGUUUCGUUCGUGUCAUUGAGCACAGCAUCUUUGUUUGUUUGUUUGUUUCGUUAUCUUUUUUCCUAAUUCAAACAAUUUAUUUAAGUGCUUUCUGGGAUUCGUAUGAAUUCAUAUUCUAGAGUCAUACAGUGCUGUACUGCUGAAUUGAGGUAACAAUAUUUUGGGCUCUUCUAGAUGGAGAACCUGAAUAUAAGUUUAGGGAUGUAAUUUUCCUUUCCAUUUUAGGAUGGUAGUAUUGAAGAUCAGUAGAAAAAUUAAAAGUGUUCUGAUAAAGUUGUGGAUUCUGAGCUCGAGAGUAACUAACGUGGUCAUUAUGUUUGUGUCGUAGUGCCGAGUUCUAGGCAGAACACAGAGGUUUGCUGUAUGGCUGUGAUUUGAUAACAGGCAUUUUAUGUCCCAUGGGAGAAAGUCUUCUAGGAAACUGUGCUCUUCUAAACAGUUAAACUGCAUCGUCGGAUUUUUGCCGGCUAAUGGAUUCACGAAGCAGCGUGCAGAACUACUUCACCGCUCGGUUUGCAUGUUGCAAUGAAUGAGUCGUGGAACAUGACCAUACCGUGUAUUUUCAAAGGGGGGAUUAAUUUUGGAUGGCCGGCUGGUCAGCAAGCGUACGAGUAGAUGGUAACACAGUUCAGAUAAUACUGGUCAUUCAUUCAUACCUCCGUAUUCCCUGUCGUUUAUUUCAUAAUCAUUUAAUGAGAUAUUAAAGUGUUGCUGUCAGUUUUCUGGGCGUGUUCUGAGUGUAUUCAAAAUUCUGAAGGCAAGCUAGAAGUAAACCUGUUGUAUCACUCCUGGUUCUGUGUGACACCACAGAGGGAGAGCUGAAUUAAUGCUGGAUGUAGUGGGAACCAUUUUCCAACAGGGACGUCUAAAUUUUGCUUUUUAAAGAAAAAUAAUUAACAACAGUUUCCCCGUUUGAGGAAGAAUAAUGCUCUGUAGGAACUGCGUGCGGAGUUGUUUUAGCCCCUUUCCUACCGUUUUGAUAGGGUGAAUUAAUACAAACAUUUCAAGCACAAAUCUUGUGAAAACAAGGUGAGCAGAAGAAAGGAUACCGUAGGGGAAUGAAUCAUUUAUGCUUGUUUUGUUCUUUCACCAUUAGUGCGGUGUCAGAUUAACUUGGUGCCAUUUUAAACGUACCAUAUUGCCCCAACGCCAGCUGAAGUAAAAACCAGUGGAGUUUGUGUUCAGAAGGAGCUGAUCCGCUCAUCCUCACCCAAGCCUACGUCUGGCCCGACAACCAGAAGAACUGGAAGUCGGAGCAUGGCACGCAGCCCGGCUCCCUGAAGUACCGUGCUGCAGACCACGGCUUUUACGGCUCCUUGCAGCGGUGCUCCCUCGCGGCCGGAGGCUUUGCUGCUCCCUAAAGCCAGCGCCGACUCUGGAAGGGUAAAAGAAAAUCUGUAGGCACGUGCCUUGUGCUGUCUUGGCAGUGUGCUGCCUGAAGUUUGUGAGUAGUGACUUUGAUUAGGAAAUUGAUCCGUCUCAAAAAUAAACCUUAAAAAAAAAAAAAAAAAGGUUGUUAGGCAGCUGGAGGGGUUUCUUGUGCUAGCUUGCUUGUAUCCGUGCAGAUGUGUCUAAUACUGUGGUGCCCUUACAGGCAGAAUGGUUUGAAGAGAGGGCAGCAUAGGUUCCUUCUGUCAGGAUCCUGAAAUGAAUGGAAAGCUCUGGGUUUGGGGAGCACUCCCAGCACAAAAAGUGGCCUUGGGCCAGUGCUGCCAGUGGAUGGAUUGGGAGAGAGGUGCAUUCAUCAUCCCGUUGCCGCUGCUGCUGUUGUACUCAGCUGCUUUUCCAUGUUUUAAGGGAGUAAAGGGGCUGGAUUCGUGUCUGCCUGUUUUUAGAGCCCCUCUUUCCUUGCUGAGAACUGGUUGCUUCGCCCCUUGCGCUGGCGCCGUUGCCGCUGCAGCCAGCAGCUUUCCUCGGCGUCCAGGUCUGGGGAAUUCAGGCUGCGACCGAAGCUGCGAGUUUAGGUAGCCAGAAGGUAUCAUUUGUCUCUCCAAAAUGUGAAUGGUGAAUCCCUGCAGUGCAGUGCGUGAGUGUGGGCUGGUUAGCUUAAAAAAGGAAGUCUGGGAAAACUGACAUACAACUUAAAUUUGGAGCUGUGUGGCAGCAUGCAAAUAAUAGAAUGAAAACCACACUUCUUGUGAAUCACUCCUGUUUAUUCUGUGAAUUUCAGAGUACAGCACUGAUUCAGAGACAUUUUAGAAUGGAUCCUGCCAUUUACCUAUUAAUAAAUCCAAAUUUUGUAGGCAGUUGCAUAGACACGUUGCUUUUUGCAUUUGUGUAGCUGUUAAAAUAGCUGUAAAGUUAAGUGGGGUUUUGCUUAUAGGUAAACUAAGCUGUCUGGUUUCUGUUUGGUGAUAUACGUGCAACAUGCUGUGUCGUACAAAACAGGCAAAGCCGUUGGAAUAGAACUUGCUGGCCUUGGGCCACUGGAUUAUAGUCAUUUGUCACUCGAAUGCCAUUUCAGCAAUGUAGAUGUUCAUUUCCAAAGAAUUAAACAUGCUAGAACUGCGGUUUUUCUUUUUGAUGGAAGUGUUUUAUGUGUGGUCAUUAAACAUACAGCUCAGGAUUAUGGGACAAAGGGUUAUGCUUCAUAGUGAAAAAUAGCGUGUGUGUGUGUACACAUGUGCAUAUAUAUGCACAAACACCGCAGUGAAGAAGCAAAUAUUUUAAAAUUUGGUUUCUAAACCCUAUUUUUACUUCAUGAAACUGUAAUGUAUAGGUUUAUUACUACAUAUUUGAAGUGUUAUUCCCAAUAAUGGUGCUGUGUGGAUCAGUUUGAAAACACUUCAAGGAUUUUGCUAGAUCAGAGCUCACGGUAAUAUAUUCAUUAACACCCUAAUAGAGUAAAACUUUGAAGUACAUUAGUCUUUUUCAUUUUGUAUUUGACUCGCUAAUACCUAAUUUAAUUGCAGAUGUUCUUGAUAUUUUAAAUACAUUUAAGAACUUUUCCUGUUUGUUUGACGGUGUAAGAUCUGUUAAUCUGCAGUGCACAUUGCAAGGGCUGUUUUUUCACCUACACCUAGGCAGGAGGUAGUUUAAGUCACAGUAGCCCUGACAAAGUGAUUGUGUAAGGCUAAUUUAAAGGAUAUACCCUAUGGAAAAGUAUAAAAAAAAGUUUAACACAAAAUUAAGAAAGGCAUUCUUGCAGUCCUGUGAUAGUCACAAAAGUUAGCACAGCAGAAAUGAAAAAUGUACAAAGGUGCUUUGGGGAAUUUUGCUGUUUAUAGCAUUGUAUGUGGAUUUGCAUGGUCUAUGAAAGUUUUAAAAGAAGUAUUAUAUGUUGUUUGUCUUGGAAUUAAGUUUGGAAAGAAAGGGAUGUGGAUCAGCUUCCCCUGAAUGAACUGGAAAACCCCUUCUGUAACUGCUUCAAUUUGAUAAAAGAAUUGGGGUUCAGCUUUGAGCUGGAAGAGAAAAAUGCCCUGUGUGUAAGAAGAAACAUCUUGUUUCAGGUUGUGUGAAAAGAUGCAUUUAUAAAAAACCUUAAAGUCGAUUUUCUUGAAAGAAUUGUGUGUAUGGGAGACAUUUCUCUCUUUGUUUGAAUGAAGCUGAGCAUACGAGCAGAAAUAGCCGUGCUGUAUUCCCUUAGUGCAGCAGGCAUGUUUUUUCAUACGCUCAGAGCCUGCUGGAGUGACUCACAGGCUUCCUGCCUCGUUUUUCCCCAUGAAUUUUGCAGGCUGGCGACGGAUUUACAAGUGUAAUUUAAAAUACAGGAAUCGUAUAUCCUCCAUGCAAAGAAGUCAGGGCUUUUGUCAUGAAAAUGUUUUGUCCCGUUGGGGUGGGAUUCCUUUGGAGGUGGUGUAGCAAUGUGUUCCCCAUAGCGAUCCUUACAGCAGCAAGGUAAUGCUGCUGCUUUCACGGGUGCUUUAACAGCGUGGCCAUAGGCACAUACCUGUCUCGGUGGGAACUUGUCCACAGCUCGCUCUUCAGACUGUGCCGCAAAAACACACGCGGUUGAGGUUGGUUCACCUCAACCUGAUUUAAAAUGAUGAAAGAUCACCUGAUUUAGCACCGAGGAGUCCUGAACUGCAGACCGGAUCGCCACGUAUCGGACAGCAAGAGCGAGUCCUUUGGAUGUGCCGGCUUCCAGUGUGUGAGGACAAGGCCUCGGAUGCCAUGUGUGGUAUCAAACCACGGAUUUCUCUCUCCUGGUUUUCCGGUGAAGCAGAGCUCUUGUUGCACACGCCACUCGGUUGGUCAGAUUCACAUACCUUUUAGAGAGGGACAUGAAUUCAAACCAUACUUCUAUACAAGGUGGGAGUUCAAGAAACUACAUUGACAGAAGUAAAGGGGAGAUGGGGCAAGAUUCUGAUACUCCCUUCGUUUCUUGCUGCAAGAUGUAGGUUGGAUGAGGAGGCAAAUGGAAGAGGUUCAGCUACGUUUUUUAAUGGUAGCAAUAGGCAAUUAGAUUAAUCACACCCAGCGUGUUUUGGAUCGUGCUACUUGGGAGGGGAUUUGCUUAAAAUUGAUGCUCUACCUGUGCAUGGUGUGGGGUGGUGUUCUCAGUUUAAAUGUGAAUAGAUGUGAUAAAAGGAGAGGGGAAAUAAAGCAGAGAGAGAGAAAGAGUCGCAGUCAGCACAAGUUCCAGCUGAACUGCAAGAAGAAGCCCGAUCUAUUGAGUUCCAGUCAACCUCGCUCUAUCCAUUAAAUCAUACGGCCUCUAAUAAUAGCUGGUUGUUACCAAAGAAAGAAAGAAGUGGUGCUAUAAAUGUCCAUAAAACAUGGAAAACCUCGCUGUUCCUUUGCUGCCUUCAGGAUAGAAAACCAAAGCUGCCACUGUUUGGAAAGUUCUGGGGAGCACUGUAGUUAAUUGUUGUAAAACUGGAAGAAAGUCAAAGACAACUUACUUAGGCAAGUCUCAAUAUUCAUUUACUUCUCAGCUAAAAGCUGUGAUCGUGGGCUAUUGCCCCUUCACAAGUUAAACUUCCGUGAGUUACAGAUAGUGAAAGCUCCUUAACGAAACUUGUGACAACAACGAAGUGUUUAUAGAAGCGUUUGUGCAGUUAAUGCGCUCUCAUGGCAAGCAAGGAUGAAAUACAUAAAAUUACCAUCGUGGAAUUGCAAGCGACAAAAACUGUAAGCGCAGCAGAAUCAUAAAAGUGUGAAAGAGGAGCAGUCAGCUUUCAGAGCAGGCCAAGUAAAGCUGCUGAGAGUGCUCACGCCAACAAGUUUGUGUUCUUGGGCUCUGGAGCUUUACCUCUGUCCCGGCCCAGCUCUGGGUUGCGGGGGUCACUCUUGGUGGUGCAAAAGGGGCGUUUUGGGUGCUGCCAGAGUCGAUUGCCUUAAUGGAGAGGAUAAAGGCAACGAACGCUUGUAUACGCUCAGCGCUAACCGUAGUCAUGGCAAGGCCACUACGGUUUUCUACUUUGCUGGAAUUGCAUCCUUAAAAUAGAGCUUUUCCAGCGUUUUUCAUCAGCAUUUACUCCUGGAAGGAUUAGGCCAGUUGCGCACCAUUUUUUCUUUCUUUUUGGUGCUGCCAGCGAUGGUUGGCCCUGGGAUGAGAAAUUGCCGUGCCAGGGGAUCCCUCGCUGCCCGGGUGUGACAUUUCCGUGGUAGCACGACUUGACAGUUAGUCUGAACUCUUACACUUUCUACAGCUUCAAAUCUUCGGGUUUAGCUAAGAGCUACGGUGUUUUAUAUUUUUAUAGCAGUUUGCUUUGCGUACUUUUUUUUUGAUUGGUGUUUGUGCUUCAAAUUUAUUUUACGACAGCAUUUAAAAAAAAAUGCCUGCAGUUAGUGAACAACAGCUGAUUCGAUUAUCUUUGAAGGCUGGCUUCAAGUAGAAGGCUGCCGCAUCUGGUCUGCUUACUGAGAAGCCAAAAGUUGCAAUACUUGAUAAUGGCAGAUGUCAGUAUUUGGAAACUUAGUUUGGUUUUUCUGACUGUUAUUUGCAAAACAGCCAUUUCAGACAAUAGCGUGAGUGACUGAUUGUAUUUACCAGCUGUUUUAAUGAUUUUCAGGAAUCUGUUUUCCUGGAUUUGGGACCAAAGGAGUCAUUGUACGCUUAGGUUAGAAGCACGUUCUUUCAAAAGCUUCCUAAAUUGGUGGUGUUUGAGAGCAGAAAAUGCUAUGAAUUCAGUGUGCGGGCUGAGACGCGAGGGUUUGCUCCCAGCCAUGCCAGCCUUGCAGAUCAGAUGGCACUUCGGUGGCACACACCUGGGGUCCCCCACACUGUUCCCACUCCUUUUUCAGCAAUGUGGGGACUCUGCAGGCACGUGGGGUGUGCUCUGAUCUCCCAGGGCCCUGGCUUCAGCAGUAGUUGCAUGCCACUCUGCUCCAGUCUAAGUUCUUUUCCUUGGGAAGCAAGGUACUGAAAUUGUCUUCAGUAUUGCAAAAAGCAUUGGCAGUACCUUGGGCGCUCUGUUUUGCGCUCUCCGCACUCAUUUGCGCAGAAGAAAGCUGGCAGGGGAUCUCGUAUGAGGGAAGAUGUGAAGUAGCAUCACAGUCAGUGUUGCUCUUUUGAAAUGAGCUACCUAAAAAUGGCUUGAAAAUCAACAGCAUUGUCAUACAGUGAACCUACUGCCGUGUUCAUACCCGGUUUUUAAGGCUGCCAUUUAUAAAUAUGGGUGUUUAAUGCACUGACUGUCUGGGAUUUAGUUGCGGCAGCGUACAAAUCUGUGAAUGCAUUCUAACAGCUAUCCUGUAGCUAUAUAAAGUUGUGUUGCAGCUACUUAAGCUCUAAAACCGUCCUCGGAGGAGGUGGCAGAGGUGGCGUGUGUGUGGUGUCCCAGUUUUCAUUUUAACUUCGCUACCAGUGCAAAAUAGAAAGCUGCUGCCACAGGCAGUGCCGCGUUCGCUCGGGUGUCUGCUGCCACUUACCUACCACGUGUCAGGAUGGCAGAGGAGGUGGAUGGCUGCGUCUGCACUGGGAAUCAACAUGAUAAAUGGUGUCCUCAGCCUCUGUCUGCCGGGAGAGCGGAUGGCGUAUGCAUUUGUCACCUGCUGAAGUAGCACAAGGCGCUGGAGGUCCCGCAGAGAGAAAACAGGGAAAGAACCUCUGUAGAAUUGCUGUCAAACUUCAGCAGGAUCGGAGGGUUAGCGUUAUUAAUGUGGUUGUAGUUGUGUUUCAUUUUUGUGACCCCCUUGAGUCAAAUCAUGAUGGUUUUUUCCCAGAUUGCUCUUUCGUUUUCGGCUGUUUCUCCAUGGGAUUUUAACCCACAGCGGGCAGGUCGCAGCUCUGCAGAAAGGAAAGUCUCCCUGCUCCUUGCUCCUUACCGCUUGCGCCUUUUGCUUUAUACUGGUUCCUCACCUGGGAUCCUCACCCCCACUGCAAAGAAAAACCGUGGAUAGUUUUCUCUGAGCGUAAUCAUCUUGCCGACCUGUUCAGCGUGUGCCAGCACUGGCACAGGAGGAAAGGUGGGAUUGCGUGUCCAGCAGGAGGAGAGGAGAAGCUGUGGCCAUGGUUUACGAAGCAGAUGGCUCCUGGCUUUAAUGGUCAGGCAGCAUUUUCUCGUACUGUUAAAUGCAUGGUACUGUGCCGCGUUGCUUGGUAUCAUUAGCUUUGGCCACCAAGAAUAAUAACAAAACAAAAAAAAAGACAAUGCAGUUGUGGGUUUGAUAGGACUUUGCUCUGCAUUUGGAUUAAUAUUAAACUUCGUAGGUUAAGGCUCACCCAGCUGUAGUCGUGAGCGCUGAGCACUUCCGAAAUGUGGGGCCGGGAUGCGGAGUUGGGCCUUCAGGAGAGGCGUGCAGCUGGUGGCUGGGCUCGACUGCCUUCCGAGGGAGCUAAUCUGCCCUCCUGUCAGGUUGGAGUCCAGACAGCUAAUUUUUACCUCGCCUAAUCUUAGCCAUCUUAAAUCGUGCCUUGAGUAAUUGCUUGUGAAAAGCGCUGUGUGGGUGACUUGUUCAGCUGUGGUGCUGUUACAGAUGGAUUUUAGUUUUCCACAACUACAGUUAAGCACAAGCUACCCAUUUUUUCCCCACUUUUCUUUACUUCCCAGUGCUUUUUUUAGCUCUCUUGACAAACUGGAAGAGCAGCGGUCCCCUUAGUGCCUGGCAUGGCAUCUCCUGGGACAGGUCUGCAUUGAUUCUGUGAGGCAUCAGUCCUCUGGGAAGGUGUCAGCAGUGGAAAUGAGCAAAAAAUACAGAAUGUAAGCAACUGGGUGAGCAGAGUCAAGUGAAGAUAACAAGCCAUCUUAAUUUUUGGGCAGCUUUGCAUUUGAGUACUCGACUUCAGAAGCGGAACUUUUUGGUGUAAUUUCCUUGUCCUAAAUAACAGGGUGCUGUUUGGAGCCUCACCCACAGCAUCUGCCAGGUGAGCACCUUUACCUGCAGCUGCUAUUUAAGCUUAUGGAGCAGUUCAUAAGAGAAGGAGCAUUAUUAAAAGGAUUCAAGGUAUAGACUGCUGUAACUGGAUUAGAGAGACUUCUGACAACAGUAGAAGAAGGACGUGAUUCCAGAAUUUUGGGAAAAGCUCGGAAUUUGCACGUUGGAUGCAGUAACUUGUUCACUGCAAGCAGAGCUCUGAAGUAAAUGUCUGCUGAUUGUGAGCAACCAGCUCGAAGCUGGUGUUUUCAAACUCUUUGAAACGUGUGAAAGUGGAGGCUUAGCAUUAAUGUUUUUUACCAACAACUGCUCUUGAAUUCAAAACCGACAUUGCUUAAAAAAAAAUAAUGGUGGCCAUUGGUUUUGGGCCUCAUUUUUGUGGAACAGAAGAAAAAUCUCCACUGGGGAAAGCUCCGCUUCGUGGGCAGCUUCCUCAGACUCGCUGCUCUUUGUGGCAGCGUCUGUUUGGUUGAAAUGGAAGAACUCCAGUAAGUGCCUAUUUUUCAGUAACAAAAAGAAGAGAGCACAUGAACAGAAGUCGUUUUGGUAUUAGA